RNAcentral lists this small RNA (28 nucleotides) under Bombyx mori (domestic silkworm). Its description in RNAcentral is "ovarian small RNA-18553". The record is from RNAcentral. Lineage: Eukaryota; Metazoa; Arthropoda; Insecta; Lepidoptera; Bombycidae.
UAACACAAAACACGAAACAUGCGUGAGC